This 468-nucleotide ribosomal RNA is filed under the name uncultured bacterium. RNAcentral's name for it is "partial 16S ribosomal RNA". It matches the Rfam family "Bacterial small subunit ribosomal RNA", at positions 28 to 507 of the family's 1533-position model. The record is from RNAcentral.
GACGAACGCUGGCGGCGUGCUUAACACAUGCAAGUCGAACGGAAAGGCCCUGCUUUUGUGGGGUGCUCGAGUGGCGAACGGGUGAGUAACACGUGAGUAACCUGCCCUUGACUUUGGGAUAACUUCAGGAAACUGGGGCUAAUACCGGAUAGGAGCUCCUGCUGCAUGGUGGGGGUUGGAAAGUUUCGGCGGUUGGGGAUGGACUCGCGGCUUAUCAGCUUGUUGGUGGGGUAGUGGCUUACCAAGGCUUUGACGGGUAGCCGGCCUGAGAGGGUGACCGGCCACAUUGGGACUGAGAGACGGCGCAGACUCCUACGGGAGGCAGCAGUGGGGAAUAUGGCACAAUGGGCGGAAGCCUGAUGCAGCAACGCCGCGUGCGGGAUGACGGCCUUCGGGUUGUAAACCGCUUUCGCCUGUGACGAAGCGUGAGUGACGGUAAUGGGUAAAGAAGCACCGGCUAACUACGUG